This 4002-nucleotide long non-coding RNA is filed under the name Homo sapiens (human). RNAcentral describes it as "non-protein coding lnc-RAP1GDS1-3:8". Lineage: Eukaryota; Metazoa; Chordata; Mammalia; Primates; Hominidae. The record is from RNAcentral.
GCUCCCGGGCGGCGGUGGCACCACGUAGCCGCCUCCUUCCACCGCUCGCUUUAUCCCCGCCCCUUCUCGGGCCAACCCCAAGCGCCGCUGACCCCGAACGUCGCUGCGGGGUAGGUAGGGGGUGGGAGGGUGGAGGACCGCAGGCGAGAGGGAGAAGGAAGGGCGCCCGGGGAGCAGGCUGGCAGAGUGACCGGGAUUGAUGAGCGGCGCAGCUCUGGAGGGACGCGGGCGAGAGGGUCGCUCCUCGGGGAGAGGGCUGGUUUUGCCUUUUCCGGAAUGCCAUAUAUAAGGAAUCAUACAGUAUGCAGUCUUUCUUUCAAUUUUGCUGUGAAACUAAAACUGCUAAGAAAAUAAAGUCUUAAAAAGAAAAAUCAAUGGAGAAGGGAAAGGUAAGAUAACUAAUCAGUAAUUUGGAGGGGGGGGUGGAAAAACUAAUUGAAUUAUCUCAUUUCGUAUAUCCAAAAUAAGUUCUAUGAGGAUUAAGGAGUUAAAUAUAUUUUAAAGCAGACCAGAAGGAAAAAUAUUUGUCAAACCUCUGUAUAGAAGUAUUUCUCAACUUAGAGGCAAUAGAAGGAAAUAAUCAAUGGAUAUGAUUGGGUAAUAUCUUAAACACUUCUACGUGUCCAGCUUUUUUUAGUGUAAGCUAAACCAGAAAAAAAAUUGGCAGCAAACAUGAAAAAUAAAAACCUGAAUGUCUAUAUUAUAAGUAGGGCUCAUAGAGCUAUAGUAAAAUAUAGAAUCGCAGUGGUUGAGUAUAAACAGAAAAUAAAUCAUAUAAGAAAUAAAAUAUAUGGGGAAAUUAAUCUAGUAAUAAAUGAAGUAUACAUUAAAACUAAUAAAGAUACAAAAAUAAUGAGCACUGGUUAGCACAUACAUUGUUGGUGUCCUUAUGAAAUAAUAUGUCCAUUUGGAAAGCAUUUUGGCUGUAUAUAUCAGGUCAGAGUGCUCCUACAUUUUGACUCAGCAGUCCCUCUUCUGGGAAUCUACCCAAAGAAAUACCCCAGCAGAUGGAAAAAGUUAUACACUGCAAGAUGUAUAUCAUAGCAUUAUUUAUAUUGAAGACUUGGCCAGAAAUUAAAGAUCAAAGAGUAGGGGUGAUAUCCAAUUCCUUGUAGUUACUUGGACCACAAUGUUCCUUCACAUUCUGUGCCUCUGCACAUGUCAUUUAGAGUUUCUGCCUGGGGCAUUCUCCUUGUCUCUUGUCUGUGAGCUGAUUUCUCUUAUUCUUCACUACUUUUGUUCAAUGUCUCGGAGGCUCCUUCUUUAUUCCCUCAACACCCGCUGUGUUCUUCCAUCCCGGCACUUAAAGGCUGCCUGUAAGAACUUGUUUACCUACCUGUCUCCUCAAUCUGCUGUGACUCCUUCUAGGGUGUGACCUAACCCUUGGUAAUCUUAGAAUCACCAGAGCUCUGCAGAUAUGGCAGGUGCUUGAUAAAUAUUUAUUAAAGGAAUGAAUGAGUCAUUUGCUCACAGUUUUUACAGCUCUUGAAGAUACUGCUUAUAGAGUAUGUGGCAAUAUAUGGAUACAUUAUAAUGUUAAAUUUUAAAGGCACUAUAUAUGGAAUUAUCUCCAAGUAAUAUUGUUAAAUUUUAAAAACAAGGAACAAAAACAGUGUACACAGUAGGCUAUCAUUUUGUGAAAAGAUAAGCUCUGUUGGCAAAAGAAUAUCCAUACACAUAUUUCCUUGUUAAUGGGUAGGCUAUCUAUGGAAGAAAACGAAAUAAACUGGUAACAGCGAGUUAGGGUGGAAUGGGGGGCAAACUGGGGGACUAAAGAUACUGAUAGGAAGGAGACAUGUUUUAUUUUUAAAUAACCCCUUUAGUCUGUUUUUGAAAUUUGUACCAUGUAUAUGAUACACGUUUUGAAAAAUAAAGCAGUCUACAAAACGGUAUGCAGUUGUAUGAAAAAAAGUUAGGAGUUAAUUUUUGCCAAAUAAGAACAGUUAUAAGGCUGGGUGAUUUUGUUUUCAUGUUUCUGGUUUGCAAUUUUUAAGUGUGGUUAAAUUGCUUUUACAAUUAAGAAGAUAAAAUUAUACAUAAAGAUGUAAGAAAGUAACUAAGUAAUCAUAUUUAUUUCACGCAACUCCUUCACAACUCAAUAAAUGCUGAUCUAUUUUAAGGAGAAAAGGAGAAAAAUUUUCUGUCUGAAUACUGCUAAGGCCACCUCCCUUAUAACUCUGAGGUUGAAAAAUGGUUAAUAAGUUUAACUACUGACAAGUUAAUCAGCUCUUCAAGUGGCAGUGAAAACAGGUAAAGCGUGUUCUUCUAAUAGUUGCCUGGCUGAGGAGCAAGAUAUGACAACAGCGUUUUAACCUAAGACACCAAACUUAACGAGCUUGUCUGUCUCCACCUGUGCUUUAUUGUUCCUGCCCACCUUCCUGCCUCCCUCCUCUUGGGCUCUGUCAUUGUCUGCCUCUCUGCUCCUCUCUGUUUUUCUUUUGCUUCUCUGUAGCCGCCCUGCUGGUUGCCUCCACACCCCUCCUGCCGCCUUCCUCUCAGAACCCUAGCAGCUGUGUUCAGCGUCCCCCUCUUAAAGCAGCCACAUGCUCUGGGAAGACUGGCCCUCUGCGUCACAUCUGGCAGUCCCAUUCCUCUUGCUAAUGUGUGGUUCAGGAAUGGGCAGGUGGCCCAAUUCUGGUCAACAAGCCAUGAGAAGAAUCUGCUAGAGGUUUCCUUGCAUCUAAGAAAUGGUCUCUUUCGCCCUUGGACUUGGUUGGGUUUGGAUGUGAUGCCUCGAUCCUCUACAGCCUGAUGACAAAGACCACACCAAGGAUGGCAGAGUGGAAGGAUAAAAAGAACCAGGGCCUUCCAGCCUUUGUUGUAUGGCUGACUUAACCAACCUUGAAGGUGGCCUUACUCACGACUUCCUGUCAGAUGAGACAAAUUUCUUGGUUAAGAUACUUUGACAGGGGUUUUCCGUUUCAUACAACUGAAAGUAUCCUGACUUAAACACCUUUUGAGGUUCUGCCCCAAGCCUUUAUUGAUUUUCUCCUCUUGAAUCACCACCAGCAUUUCUGCAUUUCUCUUAGUACCACGUUUUUUCUAUUCCCCACACCCACCACCCCCUCUCUUCCCUAGCUGUUUCUGUCUCAAACAAUACAGGGAAACAUUUUAGGGUGUCUGACAGAUCACACCCACCCCUUUCUCAGACCUUCUCAACCACAAGGUGCUCUCCCACCUCCAGCGAGGUUUGUACUUCACAGUUGAUGGGGUCCCGGUAGAUUCAGGCUGGGCCAACCUGAGAGUCUGUCUCAGUAACAAAGGGAACCCUGCGCCCAGCUGAAGUGCAGGCAAUGUUUACCCGAAAGCUGGGGGUGGGUCCGCAUUUCCAGGAGGAAGCCAAGACUCUCCCUCAUCCUCUGCAGAAAGAGGAAGGAAGCCUAAACAGAGAAAAACAGUAGCAGAGUCUGACAGCCUGGGUGCUGUGUAUGGUUGUGCAUUUUGUGCUCUGAAAGGCUCCCAUCCCUGCUAAAGGCCUGCUUCUAGAUUUAAAGAGGACUCUGUCUUUGAGGUCUAUGAGAUUUUUAGAUGGAAUCAUUCAUCACAUCCCAUUUGGGCUUUAGAUACUUUGAAGUGAGUAUCUCAAAUUUUCAAAUCAAAGAACCCUGAUUAAAACAAAAGGUCUUCUCACCUCAAAUCCUUUAUGAAAUGAGGUCAACUUAAAAUACUUUUUAGUUAGCUAUGAUAUAAAAUUAAACUAUAUUUUUGUUAUAGUUAAUGAAUUAAUAUUGUAUCUUCUGUUCCUUAGUCGAAAAGUGAGCAGUUAAAUGGUCUAUUUCUCUAACAAAACAAUUAACUGAUUCCUCAGGAUUUACCGCCCACUGUGACCCUCUUGCCCUGUGCCCACACAUACCUACUAAAGACCAGUUUUCAGAUCCCCAGGAAUAACAUAAAAUGGGGCAUAUCUGUCUCGUAAAUAUGAUUGAAUAAGCAUAUGUAGAGCACAGUUGUUUCACUUUUAAGAAUCAAUUAUAAUCAUUUGUACAAUAAAAUGAAUUAUGU